RNAcentral lists this unclassified non-coding RNA (724 nucleotides) under Leishmania donovani. Its description in RNAcentral is "gene:unknown". Lineage: Eukaryota; Euglenozoa; Kinetoplastea; Trypanosomatida; Trypanosomatidae. The record is from RNAcentral.
CGGCUGCCAAUCGUUCGCGCAUACACACAGACACGUACGUACGGCAUAUCCACAUACUCGCGCGCACGUGAGGGAUUUCUGUAUGCGCCUUUGUCUUUGUUGAUCCCUCUUGACGUUUCUGUGAAAAAGAAGCUCUCUCUCUUACACACACACACACACACACACACACACAGACACAGACAGAGAGAGAGAAGGCGACCAAGAAAAGGUAGCAUAUCACCGGUAUUCCACUUGGCCCUACGUUCCCGAUAGCGGCAACAGCAGCACAGAGGCACGCGUGCCCCGCUAACGGCGUCGCUGUUACGUUUGGGGCCAAAGCGCUCUGUCUCUGAAACCGACACCACUGCCGAGCCAAAAGGCUGGUGGAAAGGGAGGGACAAGAAGGACCUUGGUCGAUAUGGUGUCUUCUUUGGACUGAUCUUACUGUCGAUAACAUCAAUUCGCUCGCCACCCCCGUAGCGCUCCUUUUUUCAUCCGUGUGCGUGUGUUUGAUCUAUUCUGUUCAUUGCCCGUCUAUUACCCAUCCCGUGAACACCCUUCUCCUGUGUGUGUGUGUGCGUGCGCGCGUGUCUUGCUUUCCUCUGCGCUCAUUCUCCUCUCGCUUUCUCCUCACUAGUCCCUCAUUCUUCUCCCUUUUCUCUUUGGCUUCUUCUUUCUACCGCUUUCCUUCCCCGCGCUCUCCUCCCUUGUGUCCGCAACACCUGCCUACUCUCAUCAAUAAAAG